UAUAUAUUCCCUUCGUUCCAUAAUUUUUGUCUCAAAUUUGCCUAAAAAUGGAUGUAUCUACUCAUAAAAAAUAUUUAGAUACAUGUAAUAAUUCGACAAGAAUUAUGGAACAGAGGGAAUACUAA
Non-coding RNA from Brachypodium distachyon (stiff brome), 125 nucleotides. Lineage: Eukaryota; Viridiplantae; Streptophyta; Magnoliopsida; Poales; Poaceae. The record is from Rfam.